This 377-nucleotide ribosomal RNA is filed under the name uncultured bacterium. RNAcentral's name for it is "partial 16S ribosomal RNA". It matches the Rfam family "Bacterial small subunit ribosomal RNA", at positions 338 to 732 of the family's 1533-position model. The record is from RNAcentral.
CCUACGGGAGGCAGCAGUGGGGAAUAUUGCACAAUGGGGGAAACCCUGAUGCAGCGACGCCGCGUGAGUGAAGAAGUAUUUCGGUAUGUUAAGCCCUAUCAGCCGGGAAGAAAAUGACGGUACCUGAUUAAGAAGCGCCAGCGAACUACGUGCCAGCAGCCGCGGUAAUCCGUAGGGCGCAAGCGGUAUCCGGAAUUACGGGGUGUAAAGGGAGCGUAGACGGGAGCGCAAGGGUGAAGUGAAAUGCUGGGGGUUAAACCCGGGACGGCCUUGGAAACUGGGGAGCUAGAGUGCAGGAGAGGUAUGUGGAAUGCCUGGUGUAGCGGUGAAAUGCGUAGAUAUUAGGAGGAACACCAGUGGCGAAGGCGGCAUACCGG